AUACGGAGGAUCCGAGCGUUAUCCGGAUUUAUUGGGUUUAAAGGGAGCGUAGGUGGAUUGUUAAGUCAGUUGUGAAAGUUUGCGGCUCAACCGUAAAAUUGCAGUUGAAACUGGCAGUCUUGAGUACAGUAGAGGUGGGCGGAAUUCGUGGUGUAGCGGUGAAAUGCUUAGAUAUCACGAAGAACUCCGAUUGCGAAGGCAGCUCACUAGACUGUUACUGACACUGAUGCUCGAAAGUGUGGGUAUCAAACAGGAUUAGAUACCCUGGUAGUCCACACAGUAAACGAUGAAUACUCGCUGUUUGCGAUAUACAGUAAGCGGCCAAGCGAAAGCAUUAAGUAUUCCACCUGGGGAGUACGCCGGCAACGGUGAAACUCAAAUGAAUCGACGGGG
RNAcentral lists this ribosomal RNA (393 nucleotides) under uncultured bacterium. RNAcentral's name for it is "partial 16S ribosomal RNA". It matches the Rfam family "Bacterial small subunit ribosomal RNA", at positions 523 to 918 of the family's 1533-position model. The record is from RNAcentral.